UGCAAGUUGAACGUGAAGCCUAGUACCUAGUAUUGGGUGGAAAGUGGCGAACGGGUGAGUAACACGUUGGUGACCUGUCCCGAGGAGGGGGAUAACCGUGGGAAACCACGGCUAAUACCCCAGAUGUCUGGAUUGCUAGAGGAUCUAGACUAAAGCUCCGGCGCCUUGGGAGGGACCUGCGGGCUAUCAGCUUGUUGGUGGGGUAAAGGCCUACCAAGGCUAAGACGGCUAGGGGGCGUGAGAGCGCGACCCCCCACAAUGGAACUGAGACACGGUCCAUACUCCUACGGGAGGCAGCAGUGAGGAAUAUUGCGCAAUGGGGGCAACCCUGACGCAGCAACGCCGCGUGGAUGAUGAAGGCCUUCGGGUUGUAAAAUCCUUUUCUGAGGGACGAUAAUGACGGUACCUCAGGAAUAAGUCCCGGCUAACUACGUGCCAGCAGCCGCGGUAAAACGUAGGGGGCGAGCGUUAUCCGGAUUUAUUGGGCGUAAAGCGCACGUAGGCGGCGCUGUAGGUUGGACGUGAAAGCUCCCGGCUCAACUGGGAGAGGUCGUUCAAUACUGCGGUGCUUGAGGUUGGAAGAGGAGAGUGGAAUUCCCGGUGUAGUGGUGGAAUGCGUAGAUAUCGGGAGGAACACCAGUGGCGAAGGCGGCUCUCUGGUCCACACCUGACGCUGAGGUGCGAAAGCGUGGGGAGCGAACGGGAUUAGAUACCCCGGUAGUCCACGCUGUAAACGAUGGAUACUAGGUGUAGGAGGUUAUUUACCCCUUCUGUGCCGUAGCUAACGCGUUAAGUAUCCCGCCUGGGGACUACGGCCGCAAGGCUAAAACUCAAAGGAAUUGACGGGGGCCCGCACAAGCAGCGGAGCGUGUGGUUUAAUUCGAUGAUACGCGAAGAACCUUACCUGGGUUUGGCAUGUUGGUAGUAGUGAA
RNAcentral lists this ribosomal RNA (932 nucleotides) under uncultured bacterium. RNAcentral's name for it is "bacterial SSU rRNA". It matches the Rfam family "Bacterial small subunit ribosomal RNA", at positions 56 to 1002 of the family's 1533-position model. The record is from RNAcentral.